This 724-nucleotide ribosomal RNA is filed under the name uncultured soil bacterium. RNAcentral describes it as "bacterial SSU rRNA". It matches the Rfam family "Bacterial small subunit ribosomal RNA", at positions 97 to 824 of the family's 1533-position model. The record is from RNAcentral.
GGCGAACGGGUGAGUAAUGCAUCGGAACGUGUCCUCUGUGGGGGAUAACCAGUCGAAAGACUGGCUAAUACCGCAUGAGAUCGAGAGAUGAAAGCAGGGGACCGCAAGGCCUUGCGCGAGAGGAGCGGCCGAUGCCGGAUUAGCUAGUUGGUGGGGUAAUGGCCCACCAAGGCGACGAUCCGUAGCUGGUGUGAGAGCACGACCAGUCACACGGGCACUGAGACACGGGCCCGACUCCUACGGGAGGCAGCAGUAAGGAAUAUUGCGCAAUGGACGACAGUCUGACGCAGCGACGCCGCGUGGGGGAUGAAGGUCUUCGGAUUGUAAACCCCUUUCGGGUGGAAAGAUGGCUCUCGACAACGAGAGCGGACGGUACCACCAGAAGCAGCCACGGCCAACUUCGUGCCAGCAGCCGCGGUAAUACGAAGGUGGCAAGCGUUGUUCGGAUUCACUGGGCGUACAGGGUGUGUAGGCGGUUCGGUAAGCCCUCUGGGAAAGCUCCUGGCUCAACCGGGAAAGUUCAGGGGGGACUGCCGGGCUAGAGGACGGGAGAGGAGCGCGGAAUUCCCGGUGUAGCGGUGAAAUGCGUAGAUAUCGGGAGGAAGGCCGGUGGCGAAGGCGGCGCUCUGGAACGUACCUGACGCUGAGACACGAAAGCGUGGGGAGCAAACAGGAUUAGAUACCCCUGGGUAGUCCACGCCCUAAACGAUGGACACUACGUGUC